CGCUCAUCCAGAGGGGCAGAGGGACACGGCCCGAUGAAGCCCCGGCAACCCUCCAGUCGGCUCUCGUCCUCACAGCGAGGCUCCCGGCUAGGGAAGGUGCCAAAUCCGUCUCACGGCGAGAUGCGUCGUGAGGAAGAUGAGGA
This 143-nucleotide non-coding RNA is filed under the name Streptomyces sp. Its description in RNAcentral is "SAM-I sequence". It matches the Rfam family "SAM riboswitch aptamer (S box leader)". From Rfam's summary of the family: The SAM riboswitch is found upstream of a number of genes which code for proteins involved in methionine or cysteine biosynthesis in Gram-positive bacteria. RNAcentral also lists the same sequence under 1 other name. Lineage: Bacteria; Bacillati; Actinomycetota; Actinomycetes; Kitasatosporales; Streptomycetaceae. The record is from RNAcentral.